CAUAGCGACUAUCGUGGCAUAUCAAUAAGCGGAGGAAAAGAAACUAACAAGGAUUCCCUUAGUAACGGCGAGUGAAGCGGGAAGAGCUCAAAUUUGAAAUCUUCAAGGUUUUACCUUGACGAAUUGUAGUUUAUAGAAGUGUUUUCUGUAGUGGAGUUCGGUAAAAGUUCUUUGGAAUAGGACAUCAUAGAGGGUGAGAAUCCCGUAUUUGACCGUUACUUUCCUAGCUGUGUGAUACACUUUCAAAGAGUCGGAUUGUUUGGGAAUGCAGUCCAAAAUGGGUGGUAAAUUUCAUCUAAAGCUAAAUAUUGGCGAGAGACCGAUAGCGAACAAGUACCGUGAGGGAAAGAUGAAAAGAACUUUGAAAAGAGAGUUAAACAGUACGUGAAAUUGUCAAAAGGGAAGCGUUUGACACCAGCUGUUGUUUUUCCGAAAAUCAAUUACGAAUGUUUUGUUUUUGAGGAGUUAUGACUUCAUCGGCCUGCUCCUUUCUUUAUGAAACUUUCUUAAUGCACUUUUCGGUUAACAAGUCAACAUCAAUUUCUUUUGUUGUAAAAGGGUAUGAGGAAGGUGGCUUUCUUUUCGGAGAAAGUGUUUAUAGCCUUGUGCCUCUGCAAUCGGAGAGAUUGAGGUCUGCAGCGUAGAUCCUUCGGGGUUAGAUACAGUUUGUGCUAAGUUAUAGCUUUUUCAUAGACAACUUGUUGACUAUGAUUAGUCUUGUAGCUUACUCGCUUAUGCUAUUUUACCUACGCUUAGGAUGUUGACGAGACUGUCGAUCUC
RNAcentral lists this ribosomal RNA (780 nucleotides) under uncultured Neocallimastigales. RNAcentral describes it as "partial large subunit ribosomal RNA". It matches the Rfam family "Eukaryotic large subunit ribosomal RNA", at positions 22 to 647 of the family's 3401-position model. Lineage: Eukaryota; Fungi; Neocallimastigomycota; Neocallimastigomycetes; Neocallimastigales. The record is from RNAcentral.